CAGCUGAACAUUGUAGCUAAAGCCAUGAUUUAUAAGCCAAGAUGUCAAACAUUAUCUCAGACUACUAUGACCUAAUCAACCCCUCAGAGAAUAUUAUACAUUCAACAGAGAAUAACUUAUCCAUCGAUGAACAGUAUGAUAAGUGUCCAGCACUUUCAUUGAAACUUGAUGCUAUUCCACAGUUGAUAUUAGCACAGAUAGUGCUGUUCUCUCUGGCACUUCUAUUCAGUAUUAUCGGACUGGUUGUAAGCAUUGUUUUCGUCUGUCGAAAGAAGACCAAUUUCUUCACGAGAUUAUUUGUCUACUUGUCUGUGGCUACAACAUUGCUGGUAGGAUUAGGCUUGGUGACAAGUAUACCUGAAACUUGUGAUUAUUUUAUUGGAAUACAUGUUUUUGGAUUAGUGUAUAUAACAUGGAUUGCUACCGUUCUAAGCUAUACAGCUUACUUCACCUUGCUAUGGAAACUAUGUGCUCAAACGUGCAGCUGUUGUAUGAGAAGACAGCUGCGCUGUGUAAAUCGUACACCCAAACAACAGGUGAUACUGGAAGUGGUGUUAGUGCUGGUAACGAUAGUGCUGCCUAUACCUUUUAUACUGGGUGGCAUUUUAAGCCACGGUUUGAAUAAAGCAACCGUAUUAGUUGUAGGAAUUAGUGAAAUAAUAAUGCUAUUUGUAGCCAUUCCUGCAGUUGGGCUUUUAGGCUCGGUUGGUUAUGUAAUUCUACUUGUUUGGUUUUGUGUUCGAAGGAAACUAAUUUCAAGAAAAAGUGCGGUACUUUUUGUUAAGGAACUGAUAAUGUGCUUCAUGUACUUUCUAAUUGCGAUAUUAGAAAUUCUUUAUUUUGCCUUUAAUAGUAAUGGAAUGACACCUAGGACAGAUGUCAGAAUUGGCCUGAUCAUAGUAGUCACUUUAGCGACUCUUUACCCCUACUGUGUGCUUGUGUACAUGUGGUACAGUUUCAGAUUUCGACAAGUUGACAAACGAGGCAUACAAGAAGAUGGUAGAGAUCUAGUAUCUGCUCAUACAUUGGAAUGGGGCAGGUACUCCGCCAUGGAGACUUCCACGGAUGCAGCUGUACUUGUAUGAGCGGCCUCACAAGAGAAGAAUUACCGUGACUAUUUUUUAUGCGUGCGCUGCCAUCGCUAUAUAAUAAUUUAACUGGACACUAUAACUCGAUCAUUUGCACAGUUACUUAGUGUAUUGACACUCAGCACUUGUAUAGUAUAGUAGUUGUACACACAUAAUUACUAUAAUCAUGGUUUAAAAGUUCAAGGUGUGAAUAAUGAACAUGCACACACAAACACGGCAGUGAUGAUUACAACAGUACGUCAUUUUAUCUUGCCAUGCAGGAGCGUUAUCUUAAUAAACUGAGGGGCACAGCCAUUCGUGUACUCUAACUACCGUAUAGCGGCCGGACUACGACAAAUCGAUGCUGUAAACAGCCUCACAAGAGAAGAACUGAGCUACUUUAUGUAUUCUCAGAACUAUAUUAUUAUGUGUGUAGUCAUUAAUUGAAGACACUCAAAACUUGUUACACACACGAUGGCACUUAUGGUUUCAAUGUUAUUUUUGUAAAAUUGAAUGCACACAAAUAAACAACUUUAUAAAA
Long non-coding RNA from Halichondria panicea, 1608 nucleotides. RefSeq lists it as uncharacterized. The transcript is spliced from 2 exons. The record is from RefSeq and is a predicted model, not a curated record. NCBI's taxonomy places the organism in Eukaryota, Metazoa, Porifera, Demospongiae, Suberitida, Halichondriidae.